AUGGAGACCAGACAUCACGUGAAAUGGACACGUUCAAAGGCAGGUCCUGUCUCGGGGGCAGUAGACAUCAGAGGACUACAGAAGGGUCUUCCUCCUCUCAAGCCAGGUGGUCCAUGGGAGAUGAUGAGCAGUACCCUUCUGUCACCAGAAGAUCCCGCAGGAAGCUGCAAGGCUGAAGCAUUUUUGCUUUCCCCUUUGCACUGGAGCCCCUCUAGGGCAUGUCUUAAAUGUCAUUCAGAAAUUAAGAGCACCAGACCCGCUGGGUGAAAAGGAAGAAUAUUGAAGAAAGAAAAAAAUAAUGUGAAAAAAAGUCAACCCUUCUUAGAAACACAAAAAGUAAUUUGCCACUUAAUUGUUAUCCU
RNAcentral lists this long non-coding RNA (362 nucleotides) under Bos indicus x Bos taurus (hybrid cattle). RNAcentral describes it as "lncRNA (ENSBIXG00000028586.1)". The record is from RNAcentral. Lineage: Eukaryota; Metazoa; Chordata; Mammalia; Artiodactyla; Bovidae.